RNAcentral lists this long non-coding RNA (426 nucleotides) under Trifolium pratense (red clover). Its description in RNAcentral is "long non-coding RNA (TPRA_LNC006389)". The record is from RNAcentral. Lineage: Eukaryota; Viridiplantae; Streptophyta; Magnoliopsida; Fabales; Fabaceae.
UUUUCUUCAUAUCCUUAACAUUUUUUAUUUUUAAAAAUCUCCCAAUUAUAUUUUUGUCUGAAUAACAGAGUCUUCUCUCUGUUUCUGUUUAUGUGUUGUGUUUUAUUCUGACCAAAGACAAUUCUUUUGUAGCUGUAAAUCACGUUUAUUUGCAACCUUUCCUUUCCCUUCUUGUUUCUUUUACAAGUUUCAAACUUUCAAAUCUCAAUUCUUCAAAAUUCAUUAUUUUUGGUGACCCAUUUGAUUUGACUUUACUUUCUGCUAAACCACCGUCACAGAUCUCAUGGCUGGUCGCUAUGAAAGUAACCCUUUUGAUGAAGAAGAAGUUAACCCCUUCUCUGUAAGUUCUUCUCCAUACCUUCUUUCUGUUAAAGUUUUGAUUUUUUGAAUUGGGUAUGAAGUGUUUUGUGCUGAUCUUGAUUUCAU